This 455-nucleotide ribosomal RNA is filed under the name uncultured bacterium. Its description in RNAcentral is "bacterial SSU rRNA". It matches the Rfam family "Bacterial small subunit ribosomal RNA", at positions 349 to 793 of the family's 1533-position model. The record is from RNAcentral.
CAGCAGUGGGGAAUAUUGCACAAUGGGGGAAACCCUGAUGCAGCCAUGCCGCGUGUGUGAAGAAGGACCUUCGGGGUUGUAAAGCACUUUCAGUAGGGAGGAAGGUAGUGUAGUUAACACCUGCAUUAUUUGACGUUACCUACAGAAGAAGCACCGGCUAACUCCGUGCCAGCAGCCGCGGUAAUACGGAGGGUGCGAGCGUUAAUCGGAAUUACUGGGCGUAAAGCGCAUGCAGGCGGCCUGUUAAGUCAGAUGUGAAAGCCCGGGGCUUAACCUCGGAAUUGCAUUUGAAACUGGCAGGCUAGAGUCUUGUAGAGGGGGGUAGGAAUUUCAGGUGUAGCGGUGAAAUGCGUAGAGAUCUGAAGGAAUACCAGUGGCGAAGGCGGCCCCCUGGACAAAGACUGACGCUCAGAUGCGAAAGCGUGGGGAGCAAACAGGAUUAGAUACCCUGGUAG